UACGUAGGGUGCAAGCGUUGUCCGGAAUUAUUGGGCGUAAAGAGCUCGUAGGCGGUCUGUCACGUCGGCUGUGAAAACUCGGGGCUCAACCCCGAGCCUGCAGUCGAUACGGGCAGACUAGAGUCCGGCAGGGGAGACUGGAAUUCCUGGUGUAGCGGUGAAAUGCGCAGAUAUCAGGAGGAACACCGGUGGCGAAGGCGGAUCUCUGGGCCGAUACUGACGCUGAGGAGCGAAAGCGUGGGGAGCAAACAGG
Molecule: ribosomal RNA, 253 nt
Filed under: uncultured bacterium
Lineage: Bacteria
Description: partial 16S ribosomal RNA
Rfam family: Bacterial small subunit ribosomal RNA
Source: RNAcentral